GAUGAACGCUGGCGGCGUGCCUAAUACAUGCAAGUCGAACGAGGUGCUUGAGUAGCAAUACGAGAGUAUCCUAGUGGCGAACGGGUGAGUAACGCGUUGGUGACCUACCCCAAAGUGUGGGAUAACAGUCCGAAAGGAUUGCUAAUACCGCAUGUGGUCUUCGGGUUUAGAAACCGAUGACGAAAGCAGCAAUGCGCUUUGGGAGGGACCUGCGUCCCAUCAGCUAGUUGGUGAGGUAACGGCUCACCAAGGCGACGACGGGUAGGGGACCUGAGAGGGUGACCCCCCACAAUGGAACUGAAACACGGUCCAUACACCUACGGGUGGCAGCAGUAGGGAAUAUUGCACAAUGGGCGAAAGCCUGAUGCAG
Molecule: ribosomal RNA, 370 nt
Filed under: uncultured bacterium
Lineage: Bacteria
Description: bacterial SSU rRNA
Rfam family: Bacterial small subunit ribosomal RNA
Source: RNAcentral